AUACGGAGGGUGCAAGCGUUACUCGGAAUCACUGGGCGUAAAGCGCGCGCAGGCGGCUAUUUAAGUUGGAUGUGAAAGCCUACGGCUCAACCGUAGAACUGCAUCCAAAACUAUUUAGCUAGAGGGUGGGAGAGGAAGAUGGAAUUAGUUGUGUAGGGGUAAAAUCCGUAGAGAUAACUAGGAAUACCAAAAGCGAAGGCAAUCUUCUGGAACACUACUGACGCUGAGGCGCGAAAGCGUGGGGAGCAAACAGGAUUAGAAACCCCAUAGUCC
RNAcentral lists this ribosomal RNA (273 nucleotides) under uncultured bacterium. RNAcentral's name for it is "partial 16S ribosomal RNA". It matches the Rfam family "Bacterial small subunit ribosomal RNA", at positions 523 to 796 of the family's 1533-position model. The record is from RNAcentral.